Molecule: long non-coding RNA, 773 nt
Organism: Armigeres subalbatus
Lineage: Eukaryota; Metazoa; Arthropoda; Insecta; Diptera; Culicidae
Exons: 3
Source: RefSeq, a predicted model, not a curated record
UUGAAAUUUGGCAACGCUGUCUGAAAAAUAACUGGGAACUGGCUCUGAACUGUCAUUAAGUUUUGUUUUGUCUUUUGCUGGCGGGAAAAAAUCGUUGAGUCGCCUGAACUUUGCCUCUUCUGAUGGCUCCGGAAUUGGUCGAUUGAAGGAAAGUAAUAAGGAAAAAGACAACGACGGAUGUUACCCGUGAUGCUGCCAAUAUGAAGACUAAAAGAUACCGCGAUUACCGUAGCGAUUGAUCUUGCGAUGCUCUGAAUCAUCCGCACCGUCCAUAAAGGUUAUAUUUCUGUAAGUGGAACAUCACCAUGCCAGAUGGAACCGGAAGACUGACACCGCCACCAUUAAACUAUAGUAGAUUUUUUUAAGAAACAAAAGUUAAGUAUUACCUGGCAGAAAGAUGGCCCAGCUCAUGAACCCGAAUGAUCCUCGAAAUUAUCCUCCAGCAUAAUCAACGAGCUCAUCUACACUAGUCUUCAUGCAUACUCUAAGGACCAUUAUCUUCGCUACGCACCAACGCACUACACGGAACGGAUUCAGUUCCACCUGCCGAAGAAAUGUUAGUUGUUCUGGCGGAACUCCAGUCGUUCGAUUGAAAAAAGGUUAUCCACCAUCAAUGGAACAUGUGAACCUCUUCGACAGAACCGGUUGUCUACGCACAAAAUUGUCUACAGAAGCAUAUUCCAAAAUUUGAGAUAAUAUAGGUCCAAUAAAACAAAUAUAAAUAAAAUGAGAAAAUAAAGUGGAAUCGAUAAAUAUUAUUAAUUAUGAAUGCA